UGAUAACAAUAGAUGAUUUAAGAUGUUUAAGUUCUAUAUAAUUAGUUGUAAGUAUAGAAAAAUCACAAACCAUAAAUGCAUAUUGUAUGUUAAUACUGUAUAUGUCUAUACAAAACAUGAAUUAUUAUGUACAUUUUUUUAUGUAAAUUCUAAAAAAUAUAAGAAGUUUGCUGUAAAAGAAAGUAAUGACAAUAAGUUAAUUCCAUAAUGAUGUAUAUCUCACAAUACAUGUUAUGUUACAAAACAUACUUAUACUACCCACGGUGCCGAGUCCUCGUCCAGCAUACUUCAUCCACCAAGUCUCCCCUUCUUCACCAGCUGACAGGACCAAACGAGACUGACAGUACUAUAAGGAUGUUGAUGUACGGAAAAUCGACCCGAAAUAACCGCUUUACAUGCAUGUGCCAAUGACAUAUGAGUAAUUUGACAAGAUAAAUGCUGUAAUGGAGCUGGACUAACUGGUGGAGGACUACUGCCACCUCCUCCACUAUUUAUUCGUUCAGUUGUUGCAUGUUCUAAAACUAGAUAUGGAGUGAACUUUAUCACGGAUGAAUUUUGAGCAUCAGGAAAUCCAAGAUGAUAAAGCGUAUUCGCUCUAAUUUUUAAAAAACAUUCAAAAAUCUAAAAUGCAUAAUAAUUUUAUAAUAAGAUACACUAAAAUGUUAACAUAUUACUACUAAAAAGUUAGAGAUUAAAAUAUUUUGUAUUUAUUACAUCAUUUACAUCAUUUAUAUUUAUUACCAAGUAUCGAAUGGUAGAAAUGUCAUGGAAGACAGUUGGUUCUUUGUAAUGUUGCUCCAGAUGAUUGACUAAAACUUUGUAAGCACGUAUGGCAUGACUUGAUGGUAAAUAAUAAAUUUUCGAUGUUAAUAUUUUUAUCACACCAACAACUGCAGUCUUUACAUCUUUAAUAUCGACAUCUUUCGUAACUGGAGUAUCAGAAGUGAAUGGUUUGUUGAUUACCUUAACAUACAUUUUUAAUUUGAAUAUGUUAUAUUAAAAAUGUUUUAUGUAAAUAAAUAUCUAAAAAAUUAUAUACCUUCUCCAGUAUGUCUAAAAGUUCUAAACAUCUUUUUGUAUCACACUCAAGACAAAGAUCAACAAGUAAAUGUGCAACACCAUUACGAAUUGUAAUAUCCGAAUCCAUAUCGACAUGUUGAAAAUAUGGCACAAUUAUUCGCUCAAUUAAUUCAUCUUCAUAUCUAGAUCUAUUGAAAGAAACGACAAUUACAAAAUUUAUUUUACAAAAAUUUUUACAAAAUAUCAUUUUAUAUACCUAUUAACUUGAACGACGUUUGUUAAAACAUCAAGAACUUUCAUUCUAACAUUAGUACGUGUUUCAAUUUUAUAAUAACGCUCCAUCAAAUUUGCUAAUCUGG
Molecule: unclassified non-coding RNA, 1379 nt
Filed under: Bombus terrestris (buff-tailed bumblebee)
Lineage: Eukaryota; Metazoa; Arthropoda; Insecta; Hymenoptera; Apidae
Description: misc RNA ENSBTSG00005030009.1
Source: RNAcentral